Molecule: ribosomal RNA, 618 nt
Filed under: Hansenula anomala
Lineage: Eukaryota; Fungi; Ascomycota; Saccharomycetes; Phaffomycetales; Wickerhamomycetaceae
Description: Wickerhamomyces anomalus partial large subunit ribosomal RNA
Rfam family: Eukaryotic large subunit ribosomal RNA
Source: RNAcentral
UGCAUAUCCAAUAAGCGGAGGAAAAGAAACCAACAGGGAUUGCCUCAGUAACGGCGAGUGAAGCGGCAAAAGCUCAAAUUUGAAAUCUAGCACCUUCGGUGUUUGAGUUGUAAUUUGAAGAUGGUAACCUUGGGUUUGGCUCUUGUCUAUGUUCCUUGGAACAGGACGUCAUAGAGGGUGAGAAUCCCGUCUGAUGAGAUGCCCAUUCCUAUGUAAGGUGCUAUCGAAGAGUCGAGUUGUUUGGGAAUGCAGCUCUAAGUGGGUGGUAAAUUCCAUCUAAAGCUAAAUAUUGGCGAGAGACCGAUAGCGAACAAGUACAGUGAUGGAAAGAUGAAAAGAACUUUGAAAAGAGAGUGAAAAAGUACGUGAAAUUGUUGAAAGGGAAGGGCAUUAGAUCAGACUUGGUGUUUUACGAUUAUCUUCUCUUCUUGAGUUGUGCACUCGUAUUUCACUGGGCCAGCAUCGAUUCGGAUGGCAAGAUAAUGGCAGUUGAAUGUGGCUUCACUUCGGUGGAGUGUUAUAGCUUCUGCUGAUAUUGCCUGUCUGGAUCGAGGGCUGCGUCUUUUGACUAGGAUGCUGGCGUAAUGAUCUAAUGCCGCCCGUCUUGAAACCACGGAC